This 326-nucleotide small nuclear RNA is filed under the name Castor canadensis (American beaver). RNAcentral's name for it is "7SK RNA (ENSCCNG00000003699.1)". It matches the Rfam family "7SK RNA". Rfam says of the family: 7SK was discovered as an abundant small nuclear RNA in the mid-70s but a possible function has only recently been suggested. Two independent studies have found that 7SK RNA binds the CDK9/cyclin T complex (known as elongation factor P-TEFb). Lineage: Eukaryota; Metazoa; Chordata; Mammalia; Rodentia; Castoridae. The record is from Rfam by way of RNAcentral.
GGAUGUGAGGGUGAUCUGGCUGAGACACCUGUCACCCCAUUGAUUGCCAGGGUUGAUUCGGCUGAUCUGACUGGCUAGGCAGGUGUCCUCUUCCUCCCUCACCACUCCAUGUGCAUCCCUCUCGAAGCUGCGUGCUUGGUCGAAGAGAACAACCAUCCCCGAUAGAGGAGGACCGUUCUUCGGUCAAGGGUACAUGAGUAGCUGCACUCCCCUGCUAAAACCUCUAAACAAGCUCUCAAAGUAUUAAUAAUUAUAUGUGAGUUUCCCUUUACCUCAGGAAUUUGGGAAAAGCAAAUGAGAUAAUAGAACAAAGGUUUGAGCUCUUU